RNAcentral lists this ribosomal RNA (429 nucleotides) under Gemmatimonadota bacterium. Its description in RNAcentral is "Gemmatimonadetes bacterium partial 16S ribosomal RNA". It matches the Rfam family "Bacterial small subunit ribosomal RNA", at positions 355 to 776 of the family's 1533-position model. The record is from RNAcentral. Lineage: Bacteria; Pseudomonadati; Gemmatimonadota.
UAGGGAAUCUUCGGCAAUGGACGAAAGUCUGACCGAGCAACGCCGCGUGAGUGAAGAAGGUUUUCGGAUCGUAAAACUCUGUUGUUAGAGAAGAACAAGGACGUUAGUAACUGAACGUCCCCUGACGGUAUCUAACCAGAAAGCCACGGCUAACUACGUGCCAGCAGCCGCGGUAAUACGUAGGUGGCAAGCGUUGUCCGGAUUUAUUGGGCGUAAAGCGAGCGCAGGCGGUUUCUUAAGUCUGAUGUGAAAGCCCCCGGCUCAACCGGGGAGGGUCGUUGGAAACUGGGGGACUUGAGUGCAGAAGAGGAGGGUGGAAUUCCAUGUGUAGCGGUGAAAUGCGUAGAUAUAUGGGGGAACACCAGUGGCGAAGGCGGCUCUCUGGUCUGUAACUGACGCUGAGGCUCGAAAGCGUGGGGAGCAAACAGG